Molecule: long non-coding RNA, 738 nt
Filed under: Homo sapiens (human)
Lineage: Eukaryota; Metazoa; Chordata; Mammalia; Primates; Hominidae
Description: HSALNT0301018
Source: RNAcentral
CUUCUGCCCCUUCCUCCUCUCAAAGCUGAGUGGGAAGGGGCUUCACACAAAGAUCAGGAAAGCUUGACGUAUGGCUAGUGAACUUUAGGAGGGAGAGGUACUGGGAUGUGGCUCAACCAGAGAAAAUCCCAGGCCCAUAGCUACAUGAAGACUGGUCUCUGUCCUCAAGUUGCUUACAGUUUGCAGGUGCUACACCAAUGGGUAUCAUUUGUAUCUCACAUAGGGUGAGUAUUGAUGGUUGCUCUGCCAAGCCUUUUAGUGACUCUUACCUUGCUCUUCACGCAAAGAAUAUAUCAUAUACUGCUGUGCCACCCAGGGCCAUUCUCUCACAAAUUAGAGCUCCUUGAUCCUGAUCCUCAGAGUUGUAGAAUGAAUUCCACCCUAGGAUCCAGAAAGGAGUUUUGGGGAGGGUUUUGGAAAUGGUGCGAGAAUAACCCGCAACCUAGGGAAGCAGGCUGCAUCACAAAGCAUGAAUAACCAGGCCCCACAGUGGUUCGUGGAGCUCCAAGCAGAAUCUAUCUGCCCAGAGGCAGCAUGUGGUUGGAGGGGAAAGAGCCUACCUGGUAGGAGAUGACCUAGCUGUCAGUCAUCCUUUUAAAGCUACAGGCCUUGGGGGAAAUAUUUUUCUUUUGGAACCUCAGUUUUAUCAUCUGAAAACCAAGAGGUCUGACCUCACACCCUCUGUAAAAUUCUUCCUGAGUUGACUUUCUGAUUAAACCAUUUCCUCUUGCUAUGUGC